This 168-nucleotide non-coding RNA is filed under the name fish gut metagenome. RNAcentral's name for it is "Lysine riboswitch". It matches the Rfam family "Lysine riboswitch aptamer". From Rfam's summary of the family: Riboswitches are metabolite binding domains within certain messenger RNAs that serve as precision sensors for their corresponding targets. Allosteric rearrangement of mRNA structure is mediated by ligand binding, and this results in modulation of gene expression. The record is from RNAcentral.
UGAGUAGAGGUUGCACUGUCUAAGAGUAUGCGGCGGGAGCUUGAACCCGAUGAUCGCCGCAAAAAGGAGCCAGUGCCGAAGUAGCCAAGCCGUCAGGCACCGCUGCUGGGGGCAUUUCAAACAGGAAUGUCACUGCCAUAGUCUGAGCAAACUAUGGAGCGCUACUGA